GAGUGGGUUCUUCAAUCUUCUCCUUCAUCAUCCUUCUUUAAGUCUUCUUUUUCAUUUUGAGGUGGAUUAUUCUUUAAUGUGAGAUCAUCCAUUUUGUUGGUCAAAAUUUCUGCAUCCUCAUCUAAAAUAUCUUCCUUUCUAAAAGACUUGUCAUUGGAUUCAUCAAAAACUACAUGGAUAAAUUUUUCAACAACAAGAGUUCUUUUAUUGAAGACUCUACAUGCUUUGCUAGAUAUAGAGUAUCUUAAAAAGAUACCCU
Molecule: long non-coding RNA, 259 nt
Filed under: Elaeis guineensis (African oil palm)
Lineage: Eukaryota; Viridiplantae; Streptophyta; Magnoliopsida; Arecales; Arecaceae
Description: long non-coding RNA (EGUI_LNC031057)
Source: RNAcentral